UUUCCGUAGGUGAACCUGCGGAAGGAUCAUUAUUGUAUAACCGAGGUGCGAGGGCUGUCGCUGACCCGAAAGGUCGUGCACGCCCGAGUGCCCUCACACACACAUCCAUCUCACCCCUAUGUGCACCACCGCGUGGGUCCCCCUUUGGCUUGUUCGGAGGGGGGCUUACGUUUUCACACAAACUUUGUAUGCAGUGUAGAAUGUAUUUUUUGUUUUUGCGAUCACGCAAUCAAUACAACUUUCAACAACGGAUCUCUUGGCUCUC
RNAcentral lists this unclassified non-coding RNA (265 nucleotides) under plant metagenome. RNAcentral's name for it is "partial contains small subunit ribosomal RNA, internal transcribed spacer 1, and 5.8S ribosomal RNA". The record is from RNAcentral.